Molecule: ribosomal RNA, 272 nt
Filed under: unidentified marine bacterioplankton
Lineage: Bacteria
Also listed under: 1 other name
Description: partial 16S ribosomal RNA
Rfam family: Bacterial small subunit ribosomal RNA
Source: RNAcentral
CUCUCGACCUUCGGGUCACAUGAGAGAGUGGCGAACGGGUGAGUAACACGUGAGAAACCUACCCCAGAGACCGGGAUAACUAUCGGAAACGAUAGCUAAUACCGGAUAUCCCCUUCGGACCGCAUGGUCUGAUGUGGAAAUGCUCCGGCGCUCUGGGAGGGUCUCGCGGCCUAUCAGUUAGUUGGUGGGGUAAUGGCCUACCAAGACGACAACGGGUAGCUGGUCUGAGAGGACGAUCAGCCACACUGGAACUGAGACACGGUCCAGACUCC